UACGGAGGAUCCAAGCGUUAUCCGGAUUUAUUGGGUUUAAAGGGUGCGUAGGUGGCCUGUUAAGUCAGGGGUGAAAGACGGUAGCUUAACUAUCGCAGUGCCUUUGAUACUGACGGGCUUGAAUACACUAGAGGUAGGCGGAAUGUGACAAGUAGCGGUGAAAUGCAUAGAUAUGUCACAGAACACCAAUUGCGAAGGCAGCUUACUAUGGUGUCAUUGACACUGAGGCACGAAAGCGUGGGGAGCAAACGGG
This 253-nucleotide ribosomal RNA is filed under the name uncultured bacterium. RNAcentral's name for it is "partial 16S ribosomal RNA". It matches the Rfam family "Bacterial small subunit ribosomal RNA", at positions 524 to 776 of the family's 1533-position model. The record is from RNAcentral.